CCUGAUAGCAAGUACAUUCGCACU
This 24-nucleotide transfer RNA is filed under the name Goggia hexapora. RNAcentral describes it as "partial tRNA-Tyr". The record is from RNAcentral. Lineage: Eukaryota; Metazoa; Chordata; Lepidosauria; Squamata; Gekkonidae.